This 301-nucleotide ribosomal RNA is filed under the name uncultured bacterium. RNAcentral's name for it is "partial 16S ribosomal RNA". It matches the Rfam family "Bacterial small subunit ribosomal RNA", at positions 509 to 807 of the family's 1533-position model. The record is from RNAcentral.
CAGUCGCCGCGGGAAUACGAAGGGUGCAAGCGUUAAUCGGAAUUACUGGGCGUAAAGCGUGCGUAGGCGGUUUGUUAAGUCUGUUGUGAAAUCCCCGGGCUCAACCUGGGAAUGGCAAUGGAUACUGGCAAGCUAGAGUGUGUCAGAGGAUGGUGGAAUUCCCGGUGUAGCGGUGAAAUGCGUAGAGAUCGGGAGGAGCAUCAGUGGCGAAGGCGGCCAUCUGGGACAACACUGACGCUGAGGCACGAAAGCGUGGGGAGCAAACAGGAUUAGAUACCCCAGUAGUCCCUGUCUCUUAUAC